CGUCUCUCGGAGUGACGGGUACACUGUGGGACCGCCGCUGCUAAAGCGGAGGAAGGAAUGGGCAACGGUAGGUCAGUAUGCCCCGAAUAUCCCGGGCUACACGCGAGCUACAAUGGUUGGUACAAUGGGUAUCUACCCCGAAAGGGGACGGGAAUCUCCUAAAACCAAUCUUAGUUCGGAUUGAGGGCUGCAACUCGCCCUCAUGAAGCUGGAAUCCGUAGUAAUCGCGUUUCAACAGAACGCGGUGAAUACGCCCCUGCUCCUU
RNAcentral lists this ribosomal RNA (265 nucleotides) under uncultured Methanosaeta sp. RNAcentral's name for it is "partial 16S ribosomal RNA". It matches the Rfam family "Archaeal small subunit ribosomal RNA", at positions 1071 to 1338 of the family's 1478-position model. The record is from RNAcentral. Lineage: Archaea; Methanobacteriati; Methanobacteriota; Methanomicrobia; Methanotrichales; Methanotrichaceae.